CCUACGGGAGGCUGCAGUGGGGGAUAUUGCACAAUGGGGGGAACCCUGAUGCAGCGACGCCGCGUGGGUGAAGGAGUGCUUCGGCAUGUAAAGCCCUAUCGGCAGGGAAGAAGCAAGACGGUACCUGACUAAGAAGCCCCGGCUAACUACGUGCCAGCAGCCGCGGUAAUACGUAGGGGGCGAGCGUUAUCCGGAUUCACUGGGGGUAAAGGGAGCGUAGACGGCCAUGCAAGCCAGGGGUGAAAGCCCGGGGCCCAACCCCGGGACUGCCCUUGGAACUGGGCGGCUAGAGUGCGGGAGGGGCAGGCGGAAUGCCUGGUGUAGCGGUGAAAUGCGUAGAGAUCAGGAGGAACACCGGCGGCGAAGGCGGCCUGCUGGACUGCGACUGACGUUGAGGCUCGAAAGCGUGGGGAGCGAACAGGAUUAGAUACCCGAGUAGUC
Molecule: ribosomal RNA, 441 nt
Filed under: uncultured bacterium
Lineage: Bacteria
Description: partial 16S ribosomal RNA
Rfam family: Bacterial small subunit ribosomal RNA
Source: RNAcentral